AUGAGGAAAGAUGAGAAUCUUCAAAUAUUCCCUGUUGUUCCUCCUUUUCCAGUUGAGUGCCAGCACAUCUUGCUCAGUUCCAUCAUCCCAGCCCCCAGAUGUCAGCCGGAGCGAAGCUGGGCCCAGUGUAUUCCUCCUCAGGAAAGUGGAAUUGUAGAAGUUUGUUUCUGGAACUAUAACAUGUAAACUUUAGAAUUAUAAGCUUUCUGAGGCAUGUAUACUCCACCGUUUGAGCUGUGCAAUAAAGAAAGUCACUCCUAAAAGAAAGAAAAUGAA
RNAcentral lists this long non-coding RNA (276 nucleotides) under Vulpes vulpes (red fox). Its description in RNAcentral is "lncRNA (ENSVVUG00000005517.1)". The record is from RNAcentral. Lineage: Eukaryota; Metazoa; Chordata; Mammalia; Carnivora; Canidae.